AUGGAUGUUAAGACUGCUUUCCUAAAUGGAGAGUUGGACGAGGAAAUUUAUAUGGAACAACCAGAUGGGUUUGUACUAGAUGGCUUUGUUGUAAACGAAGCUGACAAAUGUGUGUACUAUCGCCAUGGUGGGGGCGAGGGAGUUAUCCUUUGCUUGUAUGUUGAUGACAUACUGAUUUUCGGAACAAAUCUGAAUGUUAUUAAGGAGGUCAAGGAUUUCCUAUCUCGCUGUUUUGAGAUGAAGGAUUUAGGAGUGGCUGAUGUCAUUUUGAACAUCAAGUUGUUGAGAGGCAAUGAUGGUGGGAUUACAUUGCUUCAAUCUCACUAUGUGGAAAAGAUCUUGAGUCGCUUUGGCUAUAGUGACUGCAAGCCCUCUCCAACACCAUAUGAUGCUAGCGUGCUGCUUCGAAAAAAUCGAAGAAUUGCUAGAGAUCAAUUGAAGUAUUCUCAGAUUAUUGGCUCACUUAUGUACUUAGCCAGUGCUACAAGACCUGACAUCUCUUUUGUUGUUAGCAAACUGAGUCGGUUUGUCUCAAAACCAGGAGAUGUGCAUUGGAAAGCUCUAGAGAGAGUUUUGCAUUAUUUGAAAGGCACUGCAAAUUAUGGAAUUCACUACACUGGGCACCCAAAGGUUCUUGAAGGGUAUAGUGACUCAAACUGGAUCUCAGAUGCUGAUGAGAUAAAGGCCACGAGCGGAUAUGUAUUCACUCAUGGAGGUGGCGUUGUUUCUUGGAAGUCUUGCAAGCAGACCAUCUUAACAAGGUCAACAAUGGAAGCAGAACUCACAGCACUAGAUACAGCUACGGUCGAAGAAGAUUGGUGUCGCCGGCUCUUGAAUGACUUGCCGGUUGUUGAGAAACCUGUACCGGGUAUCCUUAUGAACUGCGACAAUCAAACUGUGAUCACGAAAGUGAGCAGCUCAAAGGAUAACAUGAAGUCAUCAAGACAUGUUCAGAGAAGGUUAAAGUCUGUCAGGAAAAUGAGAAACUCCGGAGUUAUUGCAUUGGAUUAUAUCCAAACGUCUAAAAAUCUGGCAGAUCCUUUUACUAAGGGUCUAUCACGAAUGUGA
This 1068-nucleotide ribosomal RNA is filed under the name Triticum aestivum (bread wheat). RNAcentral describes it as "partial small subunit ribosomal RNA". The record is from RNAcentral. Lineage: Eukaryota; Viridiplantae; Streptophyta; Magnoliopsida; Poales; Poaceae.